Molecule: ribosomal RNA, 747 nt
Filed under: Clostridioides difficile
Lineage: Bacteria; Bacillati; Bacillota; Clostridia; Peptostreptococcales; Peptostreptococcaceae
Description: bacterial SSU rRNA
Rfam family: Bacterial small subunit ribosomal RNA
Source: RNAcentral
UUGAGCGAUUUACUUCGGUAAAGAGCGGCGGACGGGUGAGUAACGCGUGGGUAACCUACCCUGUACACACGGAUAACAUACCGAAAGGUAUGCUAAUACGGGAUAAUAUAUUUGAGAGGCAUCUCUUAAAUAUCAAAGGUGAGCCAGUACAGGAUGGACCCGCGUCUGAUUAGCUAGUUGGUAAGGUAACGGCUUACCAAGGCGACGAUCAGUAGCCGACCUGAGAGGGGGAUCGGCCACAUUGGAACUGAGACACGGUCCAAACUCCUACGGGAGGCAGCAGUGGGGAAUAUUGCACAAUGGGCGAAAGCCUGAUGCAGCAACGCCGCGUGAGUGAUGAAGGCCUUCGGGUCGUAAAACUCUGUCCUCAAGGAAGAUAAUGACGGUACUUGAGGAGGAAGCCCCGGCUAACUACGUGCCAGCAGCCGCGGUAAUACGUAGGGGGCUAGCGUUAUCCGGAUUUACUGGGCGUAAAGGGUGCGUAGGCGGUCUUUCAAGUCAGGAGUGAAAGGCUACGGCUCAACCGUAGUAAGCUCUUGAAACUGGGAGACUUGAGUGCAGGAGAGGAGAGUGGAAUUCCUAGUGUAGCGGUGAAAUGCGUAGAUAUUAGGAGGAACACCAGUUGCGAAGGCGGCUCUCUGGACUGUAACUGACGCUGAGGCACGAAAGCGUGGGGAGCAAACAGGAUUAGAUACCCUGGUAGUCCACGCUGUAAACGAUGAGUACUAGGUGUCGGGGGUUACCCCC